Molecule: ribosomal RNA, 512 nt
Filed under: Pediococcus acidilactici
Lineage: Bacteria; Bacillati; Bacillota; Bacilli; Lactobacillales; Lactobacillaceae
Description: bacterial SSU rRNA
Rfam family: Bacterial small subunit ribosomal RNA
Source: RNAcentral
GAUGAACGCUGGCGGCGUGCAUAAUACAUGCAAGUCGAAAAAAAUUCCGUUAAUUGAUCAGGAGGUGCAUGCAAAGAAUGAGAUUUUAACACGAAGUGAGUGGCGGACGGGUGAGUAACACGUGGGUAACCUGCCCAGAAGCAGGGGAUAACACCUGGAAACAGAUGCUAAUACCGUAUAACAGAGAAAACCGCCUGGUUUUCUUUUAAAAGAUGGCUCUGCUAUCACUUCUGGAUGGACCCGCGGCGCAUUAGCUAGUUGGUGAGGUAACGGCUCACCAAGGCGAUGAUGCGUAGCCGACCUGAGAGGGUAAUCGGCCACAUUGGGACUGAGACACGGCCCAGACUCCUACGGGAGGCAGCAGUAGGGAAUCUUCCACAAUGGACGCAAGUCUGAUGGAGCAACGCCGCGUGAGUGAAGAAGGGUUUCGGCUCGUAAAGCUCUGUUGUUAAAGAAGAACGUGGGUGAGAGUAACUGUUCACCCAGUGACGGUAUAACCAGAAUGCCACAGU